CAGACCACAGGGAUUGCCCUAGUAACGGCGAGUGAAGCGGCAACAGCUCAAAUUUGAAAUCUGGCCCCAGCGGCCCGAGUUGUAAUUUGCAGAGGAUGCUUCUGGCGCGGCGCCUUCCGAGUUCCCUGGGACGGGACGCCACAGAGGGUGAGAGCCCCGUAAUGGUCGGCCGCCAAGCCUGUGUGAAGCUCCUUCAAAGAGUCGAGUAGUUUGGGAAUGCUGCUCUAAGCGGGAGGUAAAUCCCUUCUAAAGCUAAAUACUGGCCAGAGACCGAUAGCGCACAAGUAGCGUGAGCGAAAGAUGAAAAGCACUCUGGAGAGAGGGUCAAACAGUACGUGAAAUUGUUGAAAGGGAAGCGCUAGCGACCAGACGUGGGCCGGCGGCUCACCCGGCGAUCUCGCCGGGUUCACUCCGCCCGGCCCAGGCCAGCAUCGGUCACCGCGGGGGGAGAAGGGCGGCGGGAAUGUGGCUCCCCAGGGAGCGUUAUAGCCCGCCGUUCGAUGCCCCCGGGGGGGACCGAGGAUGCCGCGCCUCGUGCGAGGAUGCUGGCGUAAUGGUCAUUAGCGACCCGUCUUGAAACACGGACCAAGGAGUCGUCCGCUGGAGCGAGCGUUAGGGCGUAAAACCCGGUACGCGUAAUGAAAGUAACAGGUGAGAGCUUCGGCGCAUCAUCGACCGAUCCGGAAGGUUCCCUGAUGGAUUUGAGUAGGAGUUCCAGCGGACGUACCCGAAAGACAGUGAACUAUGCCUGUAUAGGGUGAAGCCAGAGGAAACUCUGGUGGAGGCUCGCAGCGGUUCUGACGUGCAAAUCGAUCGUCAAAUAUGGGCAUGGGGGGCGAAAGACUAAUCGAACUGUCUAGUAGCUGGGUUGCCGCCGAGU
RNAcentral lists this ribosomal RNA (880 nucleotides) under Diaporthe marina. Its description in RNAcentral is "partial large subunit ribosomal RNA". It matches the Rfam family "Eukaryotic large subunit ribosomal RNA", at positions 56 to 966 of the family's 3401-position model. Lineage: Eukaryota; Fungi; Ascomycota; Sordariomycetes; Diaporthales; Diaporthaceae. The record is from RNAcentral.